GUUGUAUAGAGCAUUUAGCGUUUGAUGUGCACAUUUAAAUUGGUCCGUUAGUAAUUUUUAAAAUCUCUUGAUUUGUGUUCCAACCUUUGUAAAGGUAAUACUGUUUGCUAAGUCGCGUUUUCUAAGAUUUUUUUCGCCGAAAAAGAAUGAUAUACUUAAAGUAUGCAUGUCUAUGAAUGAAUGCCCUUGCUGGAAAACAUUUCACCAAAGUUGAAGAUAUCGAAAAUUGGCUUGAUACAUUCUUGGCCGUCAAGCCAGCGCAGUUCUUUUGGGAUGGAAUCCACAAAUUGCCAGAAUGAUGGAAAAAACUGUACACGAUUGACAAUUGAAACAGAGGUCAUCGAUUUUGAAAGCUGAAGAUGAAUUUAAAACUUUAGAGCUGUUCUUUAGUCCCAAAGUUUUCAUUAGGUCAUUUUUAAAAAAUGGAACGAGGUAAAUUUUAAGGGUAAUGUCUUCGACUAGAUACAAAUUGUGAUCUUUUGAUGUAUUAUUGAAAGAAAUCCGUUCGACAAGAGAAAAAGUGUUAACAGACACAAAACAAAAAAAAAACACAUCAUAGUAAAAUCAGUACCUUUUCAGCUUCGCAUCGAAUCUAAAAGAUAAGAUUCUUCACUAAUGUUUUUUUUUCAAUUCAAGUAUU
Molecule: long non-coding RNA, 640 nt
Organism: Daktulosphaira vitifoliae (grape phylloxera)
Lineage: Eukaryota; Metazoa; Arthropoda; Insecta; Hemiptera; Phylloxeridae
Exons: 3
Source: RefSeq, a predicted model, not a curated record